GCGAGUCAUUGUAGCAAUACAAGGCAGACGGCUCAGUAACGCGUAGUCAAUCUACCCUAUGGACGGGAAUAACCUCGGGAAACUGAGAAUAAUGCCCGACAGAACAUUAUACCUGGAACGGUUUAUGUUUCAAAUGAUUUAUCGCCGUAGGAUGGGACUGCGGCCUAUCAGUUUGUUGGUGAGGUAAUGGCCUACCAAGACUAUUACAGGUACGGGCUCUGAGAGGAGUAGCCCGGAGAUGGGUACUGAGACACGGACCCAGGCCCUAUGGGGCGCAGCAGGCGAGAAAACUUUGCAAUGUGCGAAAGCACGACAAGGUUAAUCCGAGUGGUUUCUGCUAAAGAAACCUUUUGCUAGUCCUAGAAACACUAGUGAAUAAGGGGUGGGCAAGUUCUGGUGUCAGCCGCCGCGGUAAAACCAGCACCUCAAGUGGUCAGGAUGAUUAUUGGGCCUAAAGCAUCCGUAGCUCGUUUUGUAAGUUUUCGGUUAAAUCCAUACGCUUAACGUAUGGGCUGCCGGGAAUACUGCAUAACUAGGAAGUGGGAGAGGUAGACGGUACUCGGUAGGAAGGGGUAAAAUCCUUUGAUCUAUUGAUGACCACCUGUGGCGAAGGCGGUCUACCAGAACACGUUCGACGGUGAGGGAUGAAAGCUGGGGGAGCAAACCGGAUUAGAUACCCGGGUAGUCCCAGCUGUAAACUAUGCAAACUCAGUGAUGCAUUGGCUUGUGGCCAAUGCAGUGCUGCAGGGAAGCCGUUAAGUUUGCCGCCUGGGAAGUACGUACGCAAGUAUGAAACUUAAAGGAAUUGGCGGGGGAGCACCACAAGGGGUGAAGCCUGCGGU
Molecule: ribosomal RNA, 842 nt
Filed under: uncultured archaeon
Lineage: Archaea
Description: bacterial SSU rRNA
Rfam family: Archaeal small subunit ribosomal RNA
Source: RNAcentral